UACAGAGGGUGCGAACGUUGUUCGGAAUCACUGGGCGUAAAGCGCGCGUAGGCGGCUUAGUAAGUUAGGGGUGAAAUCCCAAGGCUCAACCUUGGAACUGCCUUUAAAACUGCUAAGCUAGAGUCUCGGAGGGGAUAGCGGAAUUCCAAAUGUAGAGGUGAAAUUCGUGGAUAUUUGGAGGAACACCGGUGGCGAAGGCGGCUAUCUGGACGAGCACUGACGCUCUGGCGCGAAAGCGUGGGGAUCAAACAGG
Molecule: ribosomal RNA, 253 nt
Filed under: uncultured prokaryote
Description: partial 16S ribosomal RNA
Rfam family: Bacterial small subunit ribosomal RNA
Source: RNAcentral